UACACUCCUGCGGGAGGCAGCAGUGGGGAAUAUUGGACAAUGGGCGCAAGCCUGAUCCAGCCAUGCCGCGUGAGUGAUGAAGGCCCUAGGGUUGUAAAGCUCUUUCACCGGUGAAGAUAAUGACGGUAACCGGAGAAGAAGCCCCGGCUAACUUCGUGCCAGCAGCCGCGGUAAUACGAAGGGGGCUAGCGUUGUUCGGAUUUACUGGGCGUAAAGCGCACGUAGGCGGACUAUUAAGUCAGGGGUGAAAUCCCGGGGCUCAACCCCGGAACUGCCUUUGAUACUGGUAGUCUUGAGUUCGAGAGAGGUGAGUGGAAUUCCGAGUGUAGAGGUGAAAUUCGUAGAUAUUCGGAGGAACACCAGUGGCGAAGGCGGCUCACUGGCUCGAUACUGACGCUGAGGUGCGAAAGCGUGGGGAGCAAACAGGAUUAGAAACCCGGGUAGUCCCAUGA
Molecule: ribosomal RNA, 452 nt
Filed under: uncultured organism
Description: partial 16S ribosomal RNA
Rfam family: Bacterial small subunit ribosomal RNA
Source: RNAcentral